Molecule: non-coding RNA, 763 nt
Organism: Phasianus colchicus (ring-necked pheasant)
Lineage: Eukaryota; Metazoa; Chordata; Aves; Galliformes; Phasianidae
Source: RefSeq, a predicted model, not a curated record
UUUGUGACGUCUUUUGUAGAAAAAAUGGGGUCCCGAGGACACGCCAUCUGGGUUGAAGGGACAAGUAAUGGAAGUGAUAGAAGAACAACGCUUGUUUAGAAAAGAAUAGGGAUGUAUAGCUUUUUAGUCAUUUUAGCAAGAGAAUUACCAGCAAAUUUCCAGCCACUGAGACAAGAAGGCUCUGAAGCAGCAUUUUAAUAGCAGAGAAAGGCCAGAAUACUCUCAGAGCCGUAAGAGAGCUGGACCAUUUCUCCCUUAUGAAACCCAGCGUCUCUCAGCCACCUCAGCCCAGUGACCCCAGAGGACGCUCAGCUCUGACUGGCAAGGGCACAACAGCCCUCGAGAAACAGUCAGUCCUGAGAUGGGGAAUGGUCCUGACACAAAGCAGAAACCCUUCAAGCCUAUGGCAAAAUGGGCAGCCAGUGGGAACAAGUGGUUCCUCUGUAUGCCGCAUCUGGUGGAGUGCUUGGCAUUUCUGGGAUACCCACCUGCCCUGGAUUCCAGCCUCCAUGCCUGUCACCUUCAUGGCCCUCAGGAGAGCAGAAGACACACGCCCCCAGCACUGUUCCUUCCAUCCUGAGAUGGACGACCAGGUUAUCUGCCAUUCCUCAGAAAUGUGGCUUUGUCUUCACCCAUGGGAACAGCCCACACAACUGAUUCAUCCUGAUAAAUCGAACCAAUGCUCUUCCCUGCAAGCUCUCUCAUACCCAUGUAUCCCUCAGAUCAUCAUGGAAAUCCCAAAUUAACACUUGUCUGGACUGGA